Molecule: ribosomal RNA, 301 nt
Filed under: uncultured bacterium
Lineage: Bacteria
Description: partial 16S ribosomal RNA
Rfam family: Bacterial small subunit ribosomal RNA
Source: RNAcentral
CAGCAGCCGCGGUAAUACGUAUGUCACAAGCGUUAUCCGGAUUUAUUGGGCGUAAAGCGCGUCUAGGUGGUUAUGUAAGUCUGAUGUGAAAAUGCAGGGCUCAACUCUGUAUUGCGUUGGAAACUGUGUAACUAGAGUAUUGGAGAGGUAAGCGGAACUACAAGUGUAGAGGUGAAAUUCGUAGAUAUUUGUAGGAAUGCCGAUGGGGAAGCCAGCUUACUGGACAGAUACUGACGCUGAAGCGCGAAAGCGUGGGUAGCAAACAGGAUUAGAUACCCCCGUAGUCCCUGUCUCUUAUACC